UACGUAGGUGGCAAGCGUUGUCCGGAAUUACUGGGUGUAAAGGGAGCGCAGGCGGGAAGCCAAGUCAGCUGUGAAAACUACGGGCUUAACUUGUAGACUGCAGUUGAAACUGGUUUUCUUGAGUGAAGUAGAGGUUGGCGGAAUUCCGAGUGUAGCGGUGAAAUGCGUAGAUAUUCGGAGGAACACCGGUGGCGAAGGCGGCCAACUGGGCUUUAACUGACGCUGAGGCGCGAAAGCGUGGGGAGCAAACAGG
Molecule: ribosomal RNA, 253 nt
Filed under: uncultured bacterium
Lineage: Bacteria
Description: partial 16S ribosomal RNA
Rfam family: Bacterial small subunit ribosomal RNA
Source: RNAcentral